RNAcentral lists this ribosomal RNA (460 nucleotides) under uncultured bacterium. RNAcentral's name for it is "partial 16S ribosomal RNA". It matches the Rfam family "Bacterial small subunit ribosomal RNA", at positions 338 to 795 of the family's 1533-position model. The record is from RNAcentral.
CCUACGGGAGGCUGCAGUGAGGAAUAUUGGUCAAUGGGCGGAAGCCUGAACCAGCGAAGUCGCGUGAGGGAAUAAGGCCCUACGGGUCGUAAACCUCUUUUGCCGGGGAGCAAGGGCGGGGACGUGUCCCGGCCCGGAGAGUACCCGGAGAAAAAGCAUCGGCUAACUCCGUGCCAGCCGCCGCGGUAAUACGGAGGAUGCGAGCGUUAUCCGGAUGUAUUGGGUUUAAAGGGUGCGUAGGCGGGCUUUUAAGUCAGCGGUAAAAAGUCGGGGCUCAACCCCGUCCGGCCGUUGAAACUGGGUGCCUUGAGUGGGCGAGAAGAAGGCGGAAUGCGUGGUGUAGCGGUGAAAUGCAUAGAUAUCACGCAGAACCUCGAUUGCGAAGGCAGCCUUCCGGCGCCCUACUGACGCUGAGGCACGAAAGUGCGGGGAUCGAACAGGAUUAGAUACCCGGGUAGUC